GUCUACGGCCAUGCUAUCCUGAACAAGCCUGAUCCCGUCUGAUCUCAGAAGCUAAGCUGGGUUGGGCCUGGUUAGUACUUAGAUGGGAGACCACCUUAGGAAGACCAGGUGUUGUAGGCA
This 120-nucleotide ribosomal RNA is filed under the name Pteropus alecto (black flying fox). The record is from RNAcentral. Lineage: Eukaryota; Metazoa; Chordata; Mammalia; Chiroptera; Pteropodidae.